This 245-nucleotide ribosomal RNA is filed under the name uncultured bacterium. Its description in RNAcentral is "partial 16S ribosomal RNA". It matches the Rfam family "Bacterial small subunit ribosomal RNA", at positions 113 to 353 of the family's 1533-position model. The record is from RNAcentral.
ACACGUGGGUAACCUGCCUUAUAGUGGGGGAUAGCCUUUCGAAAGGAAGAUUAAUACCGCAUAAGAUUGUAGUAUCGCAUGAUAUAGCAAUUAAAGGAGCAAUUCGCUAUAAGAUGGACCCGCGUCGCAUUAGCUAGUUGGUGAGGUAAUGGCUCACCAAGGCGACGAUGCGUAGCCGACCUGAGAGGGUGAUCGGCCACAUUGGGACUGAGACACGGCCCAGACUCCGUACGGGAGGCAGCAUG